This 1247-nucleotide unclassified non-coding RNA is filed under the name Hevea brasiliensis (rubber tree). The record is from RNAcentral. Lineage: Eukaryota; Viridiplantae; Streptophyta; Magnoliopsida; Malpighiales; Euphorbiaceae.
GGGAGCAUUCAAAAGUACCAAACAUCUCUAGAUUUUCCCCUUCUAACAAAGACAAAUCUAUACAGGCAUCAAGCCCUACUUGGAAUUUGACCUACAUAACAUAUAUUAAAGGCCAAUACAUUACAACUUUGAUUUCAAGAUUAUCCAGGACCUACUUAAAAUUCCAAUAAACAAGAGUUUCUCCAAGAUCGUAGAAUGCUAUUCCUUUGAACACAACAUGUAUAGGCUGGGCUAAACUUUUACCUUCUCAAUGAUCAUUGGAAGAUCCAAGACAUACUGAAUGAUGACUUGAAAUCACCCCAAGUCGUAAUUUGAAAGCAUCUGACUGUAACUAGAUGACUUUUAGUUUGUAUUGAAGUAGACUAGUCAUGUUUGCCAUCUGAAUAAUCUACCAGCCAAUUUGCUCUCCAAACGACUGAUGAUGAUAGUAGACGUUCAGUCUUCCAUCCUGAUGACUGAAGCUUCAAAACAAAGACUUCAUAAUGCUUAUCCAUCCAUGAUUGGCUUUCCGAAGACAUGGAUCCAUCUUGAUCAUCUAGUUUUGCCAUGACAAGAGCAUGGAUGAAUGAUUGUAAUAUAUCAGCUCCUGCUGAAUCCUUAUGAGUAAUAAUCCUGAUAAUACCCCCUUUUUGUUGAAGUAAAUAUUUCUCUUUCUUGUAAUGUGAUCCAGCAGAUUGUAAUAGGUCAACCAUAGCAAGGCUGUCAAGUGAAGAAACUCUGACACCUAAACGUACUUGCUUGUAUAGAGAAUCACCACCCUUUAAGUUCCAUGAGGUCAUCCAUAAAGGUAGAACGUGCUCCAUGGAAGAGACGUGCUUUGGAGAGAGAACUUGACCUGUCUUGACGAAAUGUGAUAAAACAAUGGAGCAUCUUUCACAGUUCAGAGUAUUCAGCGAAAGACAACAGACAGCCUUGUAGUUUGCAUACAUAUGGAACAUAGUAAGAGACAAAAAGGAUAUCCAAAUGGCAAAUGAGUGGCCAAUUGUUAGGCGUGCAAGAAGCAUUCCUAAAGCCAUCCCAAUCAUCGUAGCUAGAGUUUCUUGGCUUCCUUCCUUUGCAGCUAUAUCUGCUGCAUUGUUUUCAAGGGCAAAGUGCUGCGUCAAAGCUGCUCUAGUGGCUCCACUGGCAACACCAGUGAAUGACCUUGAUAAACUCCCUAAGCAGACGAUGAACACAAAGGCUGAUGGAAAUAAAGGAGAUACAAGAUCCAUCAACAUUCCGAGAUCAUUCAUGAGAUCUGCCACCAA